AGGAGCAUCCACCAUGGCCCGGACCCUUCUUCUUGUCCUCCUGGCUCAGUGCACGGGCUCCCUGUCCCAGCCCGUGCUGACCCAGCUGCCCUUCCUCUCUGUAUCUCUGGGAACAACGGCCAGACUCACCUGCACCCUGAGCAGUGGCUUCAGUGUUGGUGAUUUCUGGAUAGGCUGGUACCAGCAGCUGCCAGGGAGCCCUCCCCGGUAUCUGCUGUACUACCACUCAGACUCAGAUAAACACCAGGGCCCCGGGGUCCCCAGCCGCUUCUCAGGCUCCAAGACGCCUCAGCCAAUGCAGGGCUUCUCCUCAUCUCGGGGCUGCAGGCUGAGGCCAAGGCGGACUAUUACUCUGCUACAUGGCAUGGCAACUCUAAGACUUCCACUGUGCUCCAGACCCAUGAGGAAGUGAGACACAAAGCUGGACUACUGCGCUCUCCUGACCUGGUGCACCACCCACAGCAGGGGUUCUGA
This is a non-coding RNA of Callorhinus ursinus (northern fur seal), 474 nucleotides long. The record is from the annotation of a RefSeq genome assembly. Lineage: Eukaryota; Metazoa; Chordata; Mammalia; Carnivora; Otariidae.